Molecule: long non-coding RNA, 471 nt
Organism: Tarenaya hassleriana
Lineage: Eukaryota; Viridiplantae; Streptophyta; Magnoliopsida; Brassicales; Cleomaceae
Exons: 2
Source: RefSeq, a predicted model, not a curated record
GGGCAAGAGGGUACCAGGAAUUGGAUAAGAAGAUGCUACAAUUUUUUUUUGCAUUUUUCUGUGGUUAUGGUCCAAAUGCAUGAAUAAGCAACGGUGACAUGUCUGAACUAGUUUCGAUUGCAUCCUCUUUUGCUUUGCCCCAAAUCGCAAUGUAGAACCCCACGCUCAUAUGAUCCCUCCAAUGGCACUGCAAUUUCACAUGUUCAUGCCAUGGAAUCGACAUUCAACACCUAUACGCCUAUUACGAUACAGAGAUUCCAACAUCGAAGAACUCUUGGAUCAAGGACCAGACAGUUCUUCAGAUCCGGUUCUACUAAAACAAUUUGGAACUUUCGGAAAUAGGGAAACCGAUUUAUAUUCAUUUUCUACUCAAUCCACGUGAAUGUUUUCAAGAACCUGUAUGGCAACUUUGUGUUGCCUGUACCAUUUUCUGAAAUGUAGACAAAUGUGAAGGAAUCCAUCUUGGGUAUA